GACGAACGCUGGCGGCGCGCUUAACACAUGCAAGUCGAGCGGUAAGGCCCUUCGGGGUACACGAGCGGCGAACGGGUGAGUAACACGUGGGUGACCUGCCUCUAGCUCUGGGAUAAGCCUGGGAAACUGGGUCUAAUACCGGAUAUGACUCCACGGCGCAUGUUGUGGGGUGGAAAGCCUUGUGUGGCUAGAGAUGGGCCCGCGGCCUAUCAGCUUGUUGGUGGGGNGAUGGCCUACCAAGGCGACGACGGGUAGCCGGCCUGAGAGGGCGACCGGCCACACUGGGACUGAGACACGGCCCAGACUCCUACGGGAGGCAGCAGUGGGGAAUCUUGCGCAAUGGGCGAAAGCCUGACGCAGCGACGCCGCGUGAGGGAUGACGGCCU
RNAcentral lists this ribosomal RNA (386 nucleotides) under uncultured bacterium. RNAcentral's name for it is "bacterial SSU rRNA". It matches the Rfam family "Bacterial small subunit ribosomal RNA", at positions 28 to 417 of the family's 1533-position model. The record is from RNAcentral.